RNAcentral lists this long non-coding RNA (235 nucleotides) under Sorghum bicolor (sorghum). RNAcentral's name for it is "long non-coding RNA (SBIC_LNC013298)". The record is from RNAcentral. Lineage: Eukaryota; Viridiplantae; Streptophyta; Magnoliopsida; Poales; Poaceae.
UCCGUAGAUGAGAGGAACUGCAUGGAGAUAGAGCAAGGUAGGAGAAUUUCUCCGGCAGCAGUGGUUGUUGCAUUCAAUGGGGUCCAUGGUGGCCAUGUGUUGCAUUCGUCACGCGCUCGCCCAUGGCCACCACACUGUCGUGCGCUCACUCGUGCCUCGUAGACACCACUGUUGUCCAAGGACAUCGCCACACGCUUGCCCGAAGACACAAAGGAGCGAAGAAAAAAAGAAAAGG